AGUCUUGGUUCAAAUACCACAAGCUCACUUUUCUUAUUGAGUUUUAGUAAAUUUUCCUGAAUGAAUGUUUUUUCAGUGGCUGCAUACCCUUCUCUGGACCAUUUCCACAGAUUAAAGAAUUUUUUAGAAACUAUUUUCACCAGUUUUGCUGAGGGGUAGGUAAAGAGAACUCUUCAAUGUCAUGCCACUGUAGAUUCUUUUUUGAUAACUCAAAGUCAUAAGACUGUAGGCAGUAGAAAGCCAGAAAACUCAAAUCCCAGUGCCCACAUCAUAAUUCACUCUAAUCAGUGUAUACUGACCUUCACCCCUGCCUCUUUGGAGCAGUCUCUCAGAAGUACUUGAGGCACCAUUUCCCAGGCUGCAGUCCUCAUUUUGCCCCAAAUAAAACGAUAUCCGCCUAGAAAGGGGAGGCACGUGGCCAACUCUUGCCUUUCAGCACGUCUAUGUGACCUUCAAAACUCCUUAGGACACGCCGGUUUGCGGCGGGGCUGCAUCCCCGUCAGACUCAGGUUGGCAGAAUCUCCCGGGGCUGCCGGGUGUGCACGGCUUGCGGUUCCGAAGCUAGAGUUCACAGAACAAUAC
Molecule: long non-coding RNA, 582 nt
Organism: Bos taurus (domestic cattle)
Lineage: Eukaryota; Metazoa; Chordata; Mammalia; Artiodactyla; Bovidae
Source: Ensembl